AAACGUGUCUUAGAUUUAUAUCAUCUUGCUUGAACAAUAUAAUAAGAUUAGCAUUAUCUCUUACAAGUUGCUUAGGUAUUUUAGUAUAAGUUUGAUUCAUAUAAAAACAAUCAAUGUUUUUAUGCCGACCCAUGGCAAAAUAAUCGCGUAUAUUGUUUUGAUUUUCACAAGCAACAUCGUCAAAUAUGAUAAUCGAGUCAGGCAAUGCUUCGUGAGGACUCAAAAUUUCACUAUUAUGAUUAUACUUGUUAUAAGAUGUGCCUGCCACCUUGUCCAAUACUUUUUCUAAAAAUACGUACUUUGGUUGGUUUAAAGACUUAGAGUACACAUACAGGUUACAAAAACGUGGUCCAUUCUUAUGUAACAAUAAACUGAUAACUAAAUUUGUCUUUCCACAGUUCGAUGAACCACACACGAUACUACGUAUAGUAUUUGGCAAUAAUUUCCCGUGACGCUUAGGCUCGUUUGAUGCUUCAGGACAGACGCAUUCCAAUUUAAGUGAUUCUUUUUGUUUCAGAAAUUUCAUAACAGAAUUUUUAAGUCGACUGUCGUGAUCUGUGGAUUUCAAAGAACUGAUGAAAUAUACUCACGCCGACGGUUAAAAAAUGUAGUUCGAAAAAGGCUACAAGCAUGGGUUGUUUACGUUCGUGUUAUUGGGCGAUUAGAUCCUAAUUCACUUUUUUGUUAUAAUUGGUCGUUCUAAUUAACUUUCUUCGAAAGAGCGGACGAAGGAAGCGAAUGAGAAGAAAGUGAAUUAGAACGAACAAUUAUAAC
Molecule: long non-coding RNA, 774 nt
Organism: Ostrinia furnacalis (Asian corn borer)
Lineage: Eukaryota; Metazoa; Arthropoda; Insecta; Lepidoptera; Crambidae
Exons: 2
Source: RefSeq, a predicted model, not a curated record